AUUUCUUCUUCCUCUUUUCUCUCUUCUCCUCUCCCUGCGACUGAAACUUAGAGGAACAAAAAUGAAAAUUUUCUUGCAUGAUUGAGCUUCAUAGACUUACAGUUACAUGGAGCUGCAAAUGUUGAUUUGGGGUAGUUGGUUUCAUGGACGUGAUUGAGAAAUUCUCUUGUUGCUUUUCAAAUUGAAGCUGCUUGAAGAAAUCAUUCCCUUUACUCAACUGAAAAAGUGAUUUUUAUAAAUCAAUGGAUGAUAGUAAAGUAUGGGAUGAUGGUGACUUAUGUCAAUUGCAUAAUAUCAAUUCUAUUGUGGGUUCUGAUUUCAGAACUAGGAAUCCUCAUGUUAAGGUAAUUCUAUUGUGGGUUCUGAUUUCAGAACUAGGAAUCCUCAUGUUAAGGUUUGGUGCUUUUUCCCCAAAUUUGUUCUUACUAUCAAAUUAAUGGUUAGUGCAUGUAUGGGCAUCUCUUGAUAUAGAUCUCUUGCUGUGUUAGUUUACUGAAUUUUAUUUGGGGUAGAUGAUGGUACUCUAGUUUGAUGUCUAUAACCAUCAUUUUGAUUUAAUUAAGAUAAAUCUCUCUACAUUUAUGGAAAUGCAAUGCUCUUUGCCAGUCUGGUCCUUUUAAGUUUCAAGGGAAUCAAAUAAUACACCAUAAUGUUUGAUAAAAUGCUUGAAAUAGGAGAUAAAGGGAUAACAGGUUCUUAUUUCUUUAUGUAUACCUUAGUAAUGGUAUGGGUAUUAGUAGGAUAUUGUUUUAAAUGUAUUUCAAAAAUAAACCUUGAUUAGAUUAACUGUUUUGAAAAGAAAACUAAAACAUUUGCACGGGUACUGUUGGAUAACUUGUUUGUUAGUACCACUUUCGUAACUUGGAUGUCGUAUUAAACUCACGUUCAAUCCAAAUGAUUCUAGGCAUUAGUAAAGUUGAAAGAGAAAAUAGAUUUAUAGCCUUUGAUAUCAUAUGCUAGAUGAACUUAGAUAUUACAUGCAUGUAUGUGUAGCUAUGGUGUGGGAUUAUGCGAUAUUUAAUCUUAAAUGAGUCUAGAGUAAAAGGUGUAUGGUAAAUAUAGUAGUAGUUAGUGGUAGAUCAAUGACUGAGUGGACAACUAUUUUUAGUGAUUAGUUGAGUGUACAUAGAGUGUUUGUUGAAAUGUUGUAUGACAAUUAGCCUGUCAGACUUGGUUGUCUGCUGUUUGACCCUCCUAGGAUUUUGCACUAGCUUCGCACUAAUUCUGAAGAGAGGUGGUUCUGGUUAGGGCUCUUGGCUACAAACCAGGUAGGCUCUUCUUGUUUCUCUUAGCAUUUUUCUCUGUUCACUAUUUUAUUGGCGGCUCUAACGGGAUAUUAAGAGUCCCGUUUUGAACUAUACGUAGUGAGAUAUGACCUGAAAUGUAGGUGCGUCGAAGCUGAAAUUCUGCGGAAUUGCUUUUUCAAAAUGAACUAUGUGCAGAUUUUUAAACGAUUUUUCUUACAAAAAUUUUAAUUACAUUUUUACUAUGAAAGAGGAAUGUUUUUAUUUUCCAAAUUGAUACCAUUUGUCGACUUCCGAUCUCUAAUGAAGUCUAUAUAAAUUUCCAAUUGUAAGUGGUUACGAAUACAGUUUUCGGCGCUUAAAGUUCAUUAUACUGAAUCACUCAUUCGUAAAACAUCGGAUGGAAUGCGACUAGAUACAGCUUAUUUUCUUCUUUCAUUUUAAGAUCAAUUGCUUAAUUAUUUAAUAUAAUAUAUGCAAUGGGGAGAACUAAACCGUUGGUACUAAUAUACCUUAGCUCUUUAUUAUUGAGUGUACUUCAUAGCACCAUGCCUUAGUUGUUAUGCUACUCCGUGCAGGUGUCACUGAAAAUCCCAAGGGUAGUCUGUUGAUUUCUCUUAACGUUAGUUUGAAAAAUGAUGUGAAAAUACUUGCUUUGGUAAUGAAAUACUAGAUGCACAUCCACUGCCAGAAAGAGGUAUCACAUUGAGAAUAUUUUGGAAGUUGGAAUUUCAUUAUCUAUAAUUGAAUGGUUUUGACCAACUACUUUAUUUUACCAACAAUUCCUUCGUGCACUUAUUAAUGGCUAAUUAUGCUUUAGUGUGCAAUGAAUUCUGUUUCACUCGUGGAUGAACUCGUGAAGUGGUGGAUGAUUACUAUGCAUUUGAGUUUGUUAUCUAUGAUCAAAGAGUCCUAAUGGUCAUUUUUGUAGCUGGGAAUGUUAUGCUAUUUUGGUAUAUUGCCGGGUGAUCGGAUACAGAUGGUUGAAUACUUUCAUUAAUCUGACACGACUCUUUUAUCACUAGAUUUAUUCUCUAACAAAGGCGGUAGUGAUGGUGGUGUCUUAUAUGAGUGAAGUUGACAUAAAAUUUGUAAGGGAAGGAGAUAUUUCCAACUUGAGUUCUAAUUGGUUUCUGGCAGUAUUGAUUAUAGGUGCCCCAUAAUGUUUACCGAAAUAUACUAAUCCUUUUAUUUAGUCUUGACCUUGCAGUCAAUAAUUGGCAUGAAUACUCGAUACUGGUAAGUGAAAAUAUCUUGGUCUCUGCUAUUUAAACAGUCGUUUUUCAUUAGAAUCUGAUGCAAGGGUUAAUUCUAUGAGUUUUACAUUGUGCUCAGUACUGCAUUUAUUAUGGUGUCUACUGCGAAGUUUCCUUUGUCCUCCACAUACUGGCAAGUCUUAAUCCAUGUGUUACUUACUGUUUGGACCUCGCUCUACAUUUUCAGCCGCUAUAUGAGUGUUGUUGAUGUCGCCAGGUGGUUAUUUAAUGUUUGAGCCAACAGUUACAGCUUAUAUGGACUAUAAUAUUGGAUUAGCUGCCUUAAGCUAUGCAUAGGUGUUAUCAUCAAGCAUUCUAAAUUACAUUUCAUUUAGAGUGUAAAGUUAAUGUGUUAUGUGAAGUGACUUGCAUUCCUCUUAAGCAUUAUACUUUGUUAUUGAAUGAAUUGGUAGUUGUUUUCUUUACA
This is a long non-coding RNA of Papaver somniferum (opium poppy), 2927 nucleotides long. RefSeq lists it as uncharacterized. The transcript has 2 exons. The record is from RefSeq and is a predicted model, not a curated record. NCBI's taxonomy places the organism in Eukaryota, Viridiplantae, Streptophyta, Magnoliopsida, Ranunculales, Papaveraceae.